Molecule: long non-coding RNA, 2661 nt
Organism: Clupea harengus (Atlantic herring)
Lineage: Eukaryota; Metazoa; Chordata; Actinopteri; Clupeiformes; Clupeidae
Source: Ensembl
CUCUCUCUUGCUGUCUCUCCCCUUCUCUCUCUCUCUCUCUCUCUCUCCUUCUCCGAAAACGGGGGAUUGCACGCCACCCUGAGCCUCCCUGAGAAGCGGACAUAUGGGGGAAUCAGCCAUCACACAACACGCUGUUUCGCCGAGCCCCGAGUCGGAGCACAAGCCACCACAGACGUCACAAUAUUUUUCUUUCUCCCUCUGUUUCCUCUGACCGCAGAUUCUUCGAUGGUUCCACGGCGGCGGCAGAGGCCGUUGCUAUUUUCUGACAGACUAAAUUACCCAUACAGCCUCUUUUUUCUUUUUUUGAUUAUGUGCCGGACAGCAGAACAGCAGAAUUUUGGGGCGCUGCAAAAUGCUAAUUUUUUUUUCUCUCUUUUUUUUUUUUUCUCCUCUUCAAGCCAGCCAGCCCUGCCUGCCUGACACCAUGACAGCAAUCGCAGCCGUCACAAGGACACCAUGAAGAGAGCAAUCUACCAUCCAGGGAUAUGAAUUUCUGAUCAGUGGCUGGCAAACUGCUGCAGAGGCUUACCGUAAUCCCAUUGGACAGCGCCGGCUGAUGAACACUGGGAAGCGGGCCGCCACAAUGGAGAAGAGCUCACAAUUGCAAGCAUCUGCCCAUAAUUUAAAACCAUGCAAGUGCAGGCGGUGGUGUGCUGCGAGACACGCAACAACAAGCUGUAAUUUAGCCACAGGAGCGGUUAUGUAGAUUACUCUAACUUGAGCUGCCCUUUUCAGGGGCUUUUUUUUUUUUAACUCACACCAUUUGCUUCAUUUUAAAUUACCAUUCUGUCAAACAACAGCCUCUGGACUGGAUGGGGGGGGGGGGAAGCACUGUUUAACAAACAGUUUUACAUACUUGCCACAGGGUCAAAUGCUACUUAAUCAAGUUACAUUCAGCUCACUCUGGGCAGUGCAAAAGGUCUCAGCUAAUACAAAAACAGGUUAUUAGCAAAAAAAAAAUAAGGUGGGCGUUUUUUUAUUAUUGAGAGGACAGGUGGCUGAUUUCCAAUGACCACUCUAUUGUAAAAACACAAUGACUCAUCUUAAACCAUGCUGCAAUUUGCACAUUUUAAGGACAUUCUGGCAUUUCGAGCCUGGCAGACGCUAGCUUUCCACUGGUCUGAUGUAGCAUUCCUGACCCAUGAAGUGUUUAACUUGGGGGAGUCGACAAUUGUCUGCCGUGUGUCCGAAUAACCAUGGGACCUCCUGCGCACACAAUGGCAUAACACAGUUGACCGAUGCUACCAGGCAGUGUUAGCCUAAGGCAGACAGCACACCUCUUCAGAAAGGUCACAAGGUGUGUGCUGCGUGCUCACCUGCCCCAUUUAAUUUUGCAAAUGUUAUUUCACGUCUGAGCCAGAGCAUGGCAUGGCGUCUCCUAUGGUGUUUGCGACAUGUUCCCUUUCAUGAUGUUAAAAUAAAAAAAGGUGACGGGAGGUGACGGGGGCAGAGAGCAGGGGGGAGAAAAAGAAAUAUCAAAAAUCACACCUUGCACGCUGGCCGCUGUUCUUCAAAGGCAGUCCAGCUGAUUGAAUUUGCAAAAGGAUCCGGUUCUCUUAGAUGCUCACAUACUGGUACAGUUUACACUAGUUUCCCCAGAUCAGAACACUGAACUGGCUCCUGUAUCAAUCGACAAAUAGAGGAGAGCUUUUGAAAAUGUGUGUUCAAUUAAUUAUGUAUGGGUCCAAGUAAAGUUGUCAGCAUGCAUUCAAAAAGAAUUGUGUUCUUUUCAGAAAGAAAUGUGCUGGCAACAAAAUAACUUGAAAUAACACUUGUAAUCAGUUAGUGCACACACACACACACACGUGCCGGCAACUACAAAACAAAAUAUUAUUUUUAAUCAGUUAUUACUGCCAGCAUCAAUGCUGAGGUUAAAGAGUGAACUCUCCCUGCAGUGGAAUACUAAUAGACCUGUUUUCUAUUUACAGUGGCUUACAGCACACACACACACACACACAAACACACACACACACACACACACACACACACACACACACACUUACAGCAAAAUUCAACAAUAGAUUUACAACAUCUUUUUUUUUGUUUACUCCCGCAAAGCAGGCAACCUCCCCACCUAAUGUUUAACACACAGAAUAAGAGCAUAAGGUGGCUUUGAUCAAUCACCCGGUCUUUCUUGUGGGCUUUGGGGGGGAAAGCCGCUCAUAAUUAAUCACACAUUUCAGAGUUAUAGUUCAUUAUCCGACAGAGAGGCAGAAGGGCAGACUUCAUUUACAACAAAGCUGUGACACUUGGAGUAACAAAAUGUGUCGACUCACACAAGGCAGGCGGUGGGGGAUCUGAUCCAAAACACGGACCGCAAAAUUAUAACUAGCAGCACACUAAAACGGUUCGCCCAUGCUACGACGCACAUAAUGUGGUGUGCUGAAAUACGAGGCAGAUACCGUAUGUGGUGCUUUUCAGUGACAUAGUGGCCUGACGCCACGAAAACAACAUACCGUCCCACAAGUUGAACUUUUCAACUGCGUUGUGCAUGGAACAAUGGAAAACAGCAUGUCUUCUUUGCGGAGAAUCCUAUAAGUGGUGAGAAAUCAGAUUUCAGGAUAAUGACAGGCGCAGUGGUAAUGAGUGAGGCAUGUGUUUUUUUUUCCUGGAGCUUAGGUUUGACCACGCACACACACACACACACACACACACACACAC